RNAcentral lists this ribosomal RNA (2230 nucleotides) under wastewater metagenome. Its description in RNAcentral is "eukaryotic LSU rRNA". The stretch from base 1 to 1685 matches the Rfam family "Eukaryotic large subunit ribosomal RNA", at positions 1121 to 3401 of the family's 3401-position model. The record is from RNAcentral.
UCUUAGUGGGCCAUUUUUGGUAAGCAGAACUGGCGAUGAGGGAUGCUCCUAAAGUCGAGUUAAGGUGCCUAAAUUGCAAGCAUCAGACACCAUGAAAGGCGUUGAUUCGUUCAGACAAUCGGAACGUGACCCUGAGAGUAGGUAUCGUUUAAAGACCGUUUCCCACCCACCGAUUUAACGAAUCAGCCCUAAAAAUGGAUGGCGCUAUAUUGUAAUACCGACACUCGACCUUCAAGGCAAAAAGCAGCCUUGAAGAGUAAGAAGGCGUGGAAGUAGUGCUGAAGCCGCGACGUGAGUCUAGGUGGAACUGCUUCUAGUGCAGAUCUUGGUGGUAGUAGUAAUUAUUCAAAUGAGAACUUUGAAGACUGAAGCUAGAGACGGGUUCCGUGAGAACAGCAAUUGGUCACGGGUUACUCGAUCCUAAGGCAAGGCGGAAACGCCGCGAAGCAGUGUUCCACUGCGGUGCCGAAAGGGAAUGAGGUUAAUAUUCCUCAAGUUUGCAAUGGAUCCUGUGUGGCAACACAAACAACCUCGGAGACAUCGGCGCGUACCCCUGGAAGAGUUUUCUUUUCUUCUUAACCGCUCGAAGCCAUGGAAUUGGAUUAUCCAGAGAUAUGGCCUUAAGGCGGGAAGAGCGACUCACUCUUGGGUCGGUGGUGCGUUCGCGACGAUCAGUGAAAAUCCGAGCUCGAUACUCAAUCCAUUCAAAAUCGUACCAUAACCGCAUCAGGUCUCUAAGGUUAGCAGCCUCUGGUCAACUAGAAGAAAGUCAUUUAGGGAAUUCGGCAAAAUAGAUCCGUAACUUCGGGAAAAGGAUUGGCUCUGAGGACUGGGCAUGCAUCCCUCUGUCCACGACCGAUUGGACUUGACUGAGGGCCUAGCUCUAGGUCGAGAACGAGGAGUUGGUGACUCUGGGUUUGUAUGCGAUCAUCAGUCAGCUCAGAACUGAAGCGGUCAAGGGGAAUCUAACUGUUUAAUAAAAACAAAGCUUUGUGAUGUCCCGAAAGGGUUUUGACACAAUGUGAUUUCUGCCCAGUGCUUUGAACGUUAACGUGAAGAAAUUCAACUAAGCGCAGGUAAACGGCAGGUGUAACUAUGACACUUUUAAGGUAGCCAAAUGCCUUGCUUAUUAAUUAUAGGCGUGCAUGAAUGGAUCAAUGAGAUUCCCACUGUCCCUAUCUACUAUCUAGCGAACCCACAGCCAAGGGAACGGGCUUGGCAAAAUCAGCGGGGAAAGAAGACCCUGUUGAGCUUUGAAGAAGAGUGGCAUUGUGACGUGGCAAUUGGGAUAUAGUGUAGGUGGGAGGUUCGCCAACAAUGUAACACCACUACUCAUUUCGUCAUUUUACUAAUUCCGUAAAGCGGAAUCCUUCGGGACUUCUUGCACUAAGGUUCGUAAGAACUGAUCUGGGCGGAAGACAGUGUCAUCCGAUUUUCUUGACUGGGGCGGUACAUCCGUUAAAUCAUAACGCGGAUGUCCUAAGGCGAGCUCAAAGAGAACAGAAAUCUCUUGUAGACCAAAAGGGGAAAAGCUCGCUUGAUUUUGAUUUUCAGUACAAAUACAAACUGUGAAAGCAUGGCCUAUAGAUCCUUAAAUUUUACAAGUCUUAAAUUUGAGGUGUCAGAAAAGUUACCACAGGGAUUGACAAACUUGUCCCAGUAGUUGGAUCUCCCCAACUGCUAGUGCGGCCCGCUACUCGGAUGGCGGCCACCGUGCGACACACCUGGAUGCUGGAACCUCCUAAUGAUCGAAUACCAAGCGACUCUUAUCGCGCAGGAUGCGGAGACAUCCGGGUAACAACUUCGGUACAGGGACAACCAGCAAGCGACAAGGCCUCGGCCGCGCGCUUCAACGACUGCAAAGGUGUGGACUCGUCCGCGAGUCUAAGGUACAGUCUAUUCCCGGCAGCAAUGCCGUCUGGCCUAGAAGCCAUCCGAGGCUUCAACUCCAGAGCUCGUAAUCAGCAAGGAAAUGUGCUGAUCAGAGCGGUCUCCAAGAACUGACUUGUGGCGACCCGAGCGUACAGAGCGACGGCGCUUUUUGAUCCUUAACAAACAACGAAUGUUUGGCAAGAAGGAAAACAACAACAUUGCGAAUGCGCUUUCCGCAUAAGCAAAUGUAAAAAUUCUGGAUUGCAUUCAUUAAGGGAUCAACAGGUGGAGUGAAAAGCAUGUGUCCACCUAGUCACUGCAGACCGGCUCUUUGGGGCUGCAGUGGCGACACAACCUG